This 80-nucleotide transfer RNA is filed under the name Autumnella corcontica. RNAcentral's name for it is "Koliella corcontica tRNA-Leu". It matches the Rfam family "tRNA". Rfam says of the family: Transfer RNA (tRNA) molecules are approximately 80 nucleotides in length. Their secondary structure includes four short double-helical elements and three loops (D, anti-codon, and T loops). Further hydrogen bonds mediate the characteristic L-shaped molecular structure. tRNAs have two regions of fundamental functional importance: the anti-codon, which is responsible for specific mRNA codon recognition, and the 3' end, to which the tRNAs corresponding amino acid is attached (by aminoacyl-tRNA synthetases). tRNAs cope with the degeneracy of the genetic code in two manners: having more than one tRNA (with a specific anti-codon) for a particular amino acid; and 'wobble' base-pairing, i.e. permitting non-standard base-pairing at the 3rd anti-codon position. Lineage: Eukaryota; Viridiplantae; Chlorophyta; Trebouxiophyceae. The record is from RNAcentral.
GCCUUCGUGGCGGAAUUGGUAGACGCGCCGGUCUUAGAAACCGGUGCUUACGCGUAUCGGUUCGAGUCCGAUCGAAGGCA